RNAcentral lists this long non-coding RNA (205 nucleotides) under Brachypodium distachyon (stiff brome). RNAcentral describes it as "long non-coding RNA (BDIS_LNC001914)". Lineage: Eukaryota; Viridiplantae; Streptophyta; Magnoliopsida; Poales; Poaceae. The record is from RNAcentral.
GCACAGGGCCCCACAUCCGUGCCUCGUACGGGAGGUGGAUAAUUAGAUUUUGCAUCGUCACGAACAUGCCCGGCGGAAAGAUCCUCUCUAGCUUGCAUAGCAACACAGGGGCUUGUUUUUCCAUUUCUUCUAGCAAGGUGGGGGAUAGUUCUUUAGCACAAAGCCGGCGGAAGAAAUUGCUCAACUCUGCCAACACCCGCCAAAU